GGGUAGCUUAGGGACAGUUACCGGGGGAACGGGUAGCUCUGGGACGGUGACCGGAGGAACGGGUAGCUUGGGAACGGUCACUGGAGGAACUGGUAGCUUAGGUACGGUCACCGGAGGAACCGGUAGCUUAGGUACAGUCACUGGAGGAACGGGUAGCUUAGGUACGGUCACCGGAGGAACCGGUAGCUUGGGUACAGUCACUGGAGGAACGGGUAGCUUAGGUACAGUCACUGGAGGAACCGGUAGCUUAGGGACGGUCACCGGAGGAACUGGUAGUUUGGGAAUGUGUACUGGGGGUUUAGGGGAGGGCUUUCCACCCUUCCUGGGGUUACAUGAACCGCAUGAGAGGGAAUGUUG
Molecule: long non-coding RNA, 357 nt
Filed under: Arabidopsis lyrata
Lineage: Eukaryota; Viridiplantae; Streptophyta; Magnoliopsida; Brassicales; Brassicaceae
Description: long non-coding RNA (ALYR_LNC002478)
Source: RNAcentral